UGGUGCCCAGCGUGGGGGCUCCUGGCACAGGGGAGUCAACGAGGGAGCCAUUCGAGAACGCCGGCUAAAAGUGGAAACAAAUUGAAUCAAGGACCGAGGCCUGCGCGGACGACUGCCCAACGUGCCGCCUGAGUCACGGUGAGUGAACAUGAACCCCAUUCCCUUUCCCGGACAUGGGUCAAGCAUUGAGCAAACAUGAAUUGUUCAUGGGAGGCCUGAGCAAGGCAUUAAAGAUAAGGGGGGUAAGGGUUAGAACAAAAGAAUUGUUGCAGUAUUUUCUUUUUUUUUUUUAAUUUAA
Cavia porcellus (domestic guinea pig) is the source of this 298-nucleotide regulatory RNA element. It matches the Rfam family "Mason-Pfizer monkey virus packaging signal". Rfam says of the family: The packaging signal is located in the 5' UTR and is required for specific RNA encapsidation. NCBI's taxonomy places the organism in Eukaryota, Metazoa, Chordata, Mammalia, Rodentia, Caviidae. The record is from Rfam.